CGCUAGCUACAGGCUUAACACAUGCAAGUCGAGGGGCAGCAGGGAUUUAGCUUGCUAAAUCCGCUGGCGACCGGCGCACGGGUGCGUAACGCGUAUCCAACUUUCCCGUUACUCAGGGAUAGCCUUCCGAAAGGGAGAUUAAUACCUGAUGGUGUUUGAAGUUCGCAUGUUCUUCAAACUAAAGAUUUAUCGGUAACGGAUAGGGAUGCGUGACAUUAGAUAGUAGGCGGGGUAACGGCCCACCUAGUCUACGAUGUCUAGGGGUUCUGAGAGGAAGGUCCCCCACACUGGAACUGAGACACGGUCCAGACUCCUACGGGAGGCAGCAGUGAGGAAUAUUGGUCAAUGGUCGGAAGACUGAACCAGCCAAGUAGCGUGAAGGAUGAAGGUUCUAUGGAUUGUAAACUUCUUUUAUAUAGGAAUAAAACCUCCCACGUGUGGGAGCUUGUAUGUACUAUAUGAAUAAGCAUCGGCUAACUCCGUGCCAGCAGCCGCGGUAAUACGGAGGAUGCGAGCGUUAUCCGGAUUUAUUGGGUUUAAAGGGAGCGUAGACGGGAUGUUAAGUCAGCUGUGAAAGUUUGGGGCUCAACCUUAAAAUUGCAGUUGAUACUGGCGUCCUUGAGUGCGGUUGAGGUAUAAGGAAUUCGUGGUGUAGCGGUGAAAUGCUUAGAUAUCAUGAAGGACUCCGAUUG
RNAcentral lists this ribosomal RNA (692 nucleotides) under uncultured Bacteroidales bacterium. Its description in RNAcentral is "bacterial SSU rRNA". It matches the Rfam family "Bacterial small subunit ribosomal RNA", at positions 34 to 715 of the family's 1533-position model. The record is from RNAcentral. Lineage: Bacteria; Pseudomonadati; Bacteroidota; Bacteroidia; Bacteroidales.